GGGAAUGUGGCUUAGUGGUAGAGCGCGUGCCUAGCAUGCAGGAAGCCCUGGGUUCAAUUCCUCAGUACCA
Molecule: transfer RNA, 70 nt
Filed under: Dipodomys ordii (Ord's kangaroo rat)
Lineage: Eukaryota; Metazoa; Chordata; Mammalia; Rodentia; Heteromyidae
Rfam family: tRNA
About the family: Transfer RNA (tRNA) molecules are approximately 80 nucleotides in length. Their secondary structure includes four short double-helical elements and three loops (D, anti-codon, and T loops).
Source: Rfam by way of RNAcentral